CACGUUAAUUUAUACCCAAAUGAAAAGGCUGACAGGAUUUGAAUUUGGAUUAGGGAUAUCUUUAAUAUAUAGGUCAAAAUUUUUUGGAUUUCCCCAAACCAUUGAGCCUUCUAAUCCAUGAUUAUGUUACAUUUGCUUAGGUCUUCUCUGAUUCCACUGAUUAAUAUUUUAUCAUUCUCACCAUACUAAUCUUGCAUAUAUUUUGUUAAAUUUCUAUCUACAUGUUUCAAGUGCUUUAUCAUAGAUGUUUUAAAGAUAAUAUCCAAUAAUUAACUGCAAUUAUAUUUGCAUAUUGCCUGUGGUGUCUAGGGCCCGCGUGCCUAAGCUCACAGCUCCCUCCCCCGCCUUCACAGCCGCAAGCCGGGAUCCACUGCCGCCAUCAGUUUCCUGGCUCCGACUCUCCUACCUUCCUUGUCUGCCAGUAGAAUAAUCUGGAACAAUCUCUCUAUUGAAGGUGUGGGCAUCUCGGGGGGCCAUGGCCCUUGUUACCACAGCACCGGUCCCAGCUCGAACUCACCACGUUCUCCUAAACCAGCCUCUGCAACCCGAAAGCUGACGUGAGGGGCUCCCUGAGGGGGGCUCCUGUGUGCAGACUCCCCGUGCACCUGGGAGACUCGGCAGCCGCAGCAGCAUGGGACCACACCUGCUUUGCUCUCCAACUCACAACUCACCCUUCCCCGCCCCGAGCACGUGGACCCUUAAUUCCAGGCUCUGUGCUGCAGACCGAAGCCAGAGGUGGCAGUGCAUCCGUGGGACUCGGAAGGUGACGAUGACCGGGGUGCACGGCUCGUGUCUUUCACCUGUGUUCCUCCUUGGCACGAGCUGGGGAAGUCAGGGGCUGUUGUGUGACCUGGCAUGUGACCUGCGUUACGUGGCCUAGCUGACCUUUGGAACUCACAAGUGCACACAUGCCGUGUGGCACCACGGUUUAUUCCACUGAAUGUCCUCCUCUUCAACCUCCUCUCUCCCUAAGAGGAUUCCUCCUGUAAGCUAUCAGGAGAAGAGGAUCCCUCCUGUAAGGUGUCAAGAGAAGAGUCCGGAGAAUGCGGCAGUAUCGAGACUUGCACAUUGAGUGCCUUGCCUACCCCAUCCUUGUGUACUGUAGCGGCAAACAGGUGUGACAGCACUUCCCUUGAACACUGGGCAUUGAUACUGAAUUCCAGUGCCGCUGCGUUUAAGCGCAGAAAGCAAGGGCACCUUCCAAGUGAACAAGCUUGGAAUUGAAAUGCUUCCUUCAAACUUUUGAUGUAUAAGAAACAAAUACCCAGUUCACGCUACAACAGCAAUCUCUCAUGUUUGAUUGAUUGCGUGUCUCCAGAGGCAGAAAAAAAAUAAAAAAGUACAAAUGGCUUCUAAAGGAUUUUGA
This 1366-nucleotide long non-coding RNA is filed under the name Oryctolagus cuniculus (rabbit). RNAcentral's name for it is "lncRNA (ENSOCUG00000038631.1)". The record is from RNAcentral. Lineage: Eukaryota; Metazoa; Chordata; Mammalia; Lagomorpha; Leporidae.